Cyprinus carpio (common carp) is the source of this 2334-nucleotide long non-coding RNA. NCBI's taxonomy places the organism in Eukaryota, Metazoa, Chordata, Actinopteri, Cypriniformes, Cyprinidae. The record is from Ensembl.
CAGAGGUGCUCCCAAAGCAGAGAGGAAAGCCUUGAGGGAAAUGAUAGGGGCUGGUGUUGGGAGGGCAAGCAUGUGUGUUGGUCUGGGGGAUGAAAACAUGUGAGAAGAAAGAAUGUGUUACAGUGUGUGUGUGUGUGUGUGUGUGUGUGUGUGUGUGUGUGUGUGUGUCUGACUGGAGUGAGGAGUAGGAUAAAAUUUACAGAGGAAGCUAAAAGACAUUUUGCAUUGGGAGUAAAUAAUCUGUGUGUGCUUCUUAUAGUGCUCAAAUUGUAGUUUUUGGUGUUCAUCUGAAAUGACAAUCAGGAGGAACAGUUGAAGAUUUUUGAAAUCUAAAGUGAUAAAUAAUGAAGAAUUCACUCCAAAGAAAAAGAACCUCCAGCUCAACUAUAACUGAAGCCAACAUACUUCCACAUGCUGCUCAAAUCAAUCCCAGGCCAGUGUGUUUGUCUCAGAUGAGCAGUGUUUUCUCCAGUGUGCCACCACUUUUUGGAACAGCACAAGCUUUCCUGUUGAGACUAGCCCAACUUGAAGCUCAGCUAGUUUUGAACCUGAUUAGUAAUGUUGCAUCUGGAAAUAAUAGAGGUUAUGGGAACCCUUUUGUUCCUUUAAAUCCCUUACAGCCUGUUGGCAUUCAAAGAUCCUCAUUUUUGAGCAUGUACCAGUGCCCAGGGGGGGUUAAAAUCAUGGAUUCCACACCUCACAUGGUUAGUCAUCCUGCAACAACAGUCGCAGAAAUUAAUUCAGUCAUUGCCAAUAAAGAGAGUGGUGCACUUGUGGCAAAAGAGAUUAUUCAGGAAAAAACACUAGGUCCCAUCAUGAAUAAUACAACAUCUGAGGAAGCUCUUUUUACAUCCAGUCCCAACCCUCUAGGCAAACAUUUCGCCUUAAAACCACAUGUGGACUGUUCCCAAUACCAGUCGGUGACAGCCAAAGCAAUGAUACCCCCUGAUAGACCACAGAUUGAAGAAGCAGAGCCAAAGCAACAAACAAUGCUGCAGUAUCCAGCAGAAAGUCUGAUCAAAGCUUUAACCAGCCUUGGCCUUUCUCUUGAGGAUCUAGAAUUACUCAGUCACUGCCCAGACAACCAGUUAACAACAGAGAAUCUCCCCUUCAUUAUACAAGACAUUCAACAGCGCAAAGGAACAAAUGACAUAAAAUAUGGCCAUGCUAGACGGAUCUCAUCUGAUCCAGUGGAAUCAUCCAGAGAGUCAUCAUAUACUCACAGGGAACAGAGGAAUCCGAGGAUUAUAAAUGUUGAAUGGCAAGAAUCCCAUUCCCAGAGAUCUCUCAGCCCUGAAAGAUGUCGGCCAUCUAAAGUCAUUUAUAAACACUUCUCGACCCAAUCUAGAACACUCAGAACAAGCCAUUCAUCAGGAAGAGGAUCAAAUUCCUUCCUAAAGAGGCUGCAACAUGGGCCUGCUGAGGACACCGGCUGGAGGCCUGGUUCAGUCUAUUUCCCCCCUCGAUCAAAACGCAGCAGAAGAUCCAACACUUACAACACCAUAACAAAAGGUCAUCAGCAGUCUUCAUUUCCAGUCAAAUCUGCAAAAUCAGAAGUAACCACUGAAUCCAUCAACAUUCAGAUGCCAGUAACUAAGACAACUGCAAAAACAUCAGCACAAACUAAGGGUGUGAUUCGUGUGUCUGGAAUCCCUCUUCAUUACUCUCAGAGUGAACUCAUCAAAAUGGCAUCGCCGUUUGGUCAAUCUGUUGAGGUUUUAAUGGCAACUGAGGUUUACACAACAACCUGUCUAGAAUGGAAGAAGGCUUUACUGAUGUUUCCAACUGAAUUCUCGGCCGAGGAGAUGGUGAAGGUUUACUCUGCUAUCCCAGUUCACAUGAGACAGCAAAGUUUGGAACUGGUGUCCCAAACUGUUGACUUUAGUUCACCUGUGUCAGUGUUUCAUGCUUUUGUGGGGUCAUCAUUGUCAAAUGGGCUGCUAACGGCUUUGGACCAUUUGCUGGUUGUAUGUAAUGUUCCCAAUCAGCCCAGUGCUGCUACAGGAGUGCUACGGCUGCUAAAGCCUUUUGGACAAGUUUUCAGAGCUCUUGUACUUCAUGGAAACAAGGUGGAUGUUGAUCAGUGCCUUGGGAACAAUAGCAGCAUGCAGAUGGUUUUAGAGAUGGAAUCCGCUUCUGUUGCUUUAUCUGUAUAUGAGUGGUCUCAAAAAAUUCCUUGUGUUUAUCACAACCAUCAUCUGUCUUUCCUCAGAGGAUGCAAUGUACAGAAAAACACAUCUGAGGUCCAUUCAGCCUAAUAUCCUCACAGUUUUAUCCCCUUAAAUAUUGUAUAUUUUCAUUAUCUUUGUAAUAAAAUACAAUGAAACGAGGUCA